AAAAAAAUCAUACAAUUAUUAAUCUUAGAAAAAAAAGCUAUUGCCAAAUAAAAUUUGCUAAAUAAUGUUUAGAAUUACAGUUUGGCCGUUAGCCAAAAUUGCCUAAUAGAAGCCAUUUUGUCAAAGCAGAAAUGCCUUUGGUAGAUGAUAAAUUUUAGGACAGAUGUGAGAUGAUUUGUCAAGACAAAAUAAAGAGUUUGUCUCAACGGCGAAGAUAAGAUUUGAAUUUUUUUUUGUAUUUUUCAAUGUUUUUCUGAAUUUCGCAUUAAUAUUAUAUAGAUAGAGCACAUCAAGACUAUGGACGGAGGAAUAAUGCUGAACCAAUCUUUUUUAAACACAACCAGUGAGAGAAACACAGACUUCUACAAUUCGUGGUGUAAGAAGUAGGACGAGGACAUGGAAUCUAUUGCAUAUCGAGGUCCAGCCUUCGUUGGAAGUGUACUGGCUAAAUUAUACCCCGGAGCUAAGGAGGACGUGCGUAUUCUCGAUGUUGCAGCAGGCACUGGAUUAGUUGGUGAACAGCUAGCCAAACAAGGAUUUGUUCAAAUAGACGCAUUAGACCCAUCACAAGGAAUGCUAGAUGAGGCAAAAACAAAGAAUGUCUACCAAGCUCUGAUAUGUUCAUACUUUAAUGAGAAAGAACUGGACAUAGCACCAGGUAAAUACGUAUGACGUCAUUGUCAUCUCUGGAGGAUAUAGCAACAGUCACUUGCCUCUAGAUUGUGUGUGGGAAGCCGUGCGUCUCUUAAAACCAGGGGGUUAUUUUGUGGUGGCCGCGCGUCCAGUUCUCUUACAAACAGUCGAAGAGUACAAAGGCCACUUUGAACCAUUGAUGGACAAGAUUGAAAAAGAAGGGAAAUGGACAAAAAUCAGCAAGGAGGUCGUUCCCGAUUAUCAGAAAGGAAAAGAGGGGAUUAUUUUUGUAUAUCAAAUGAAACAAUAGUAUCUUGCUUCUGAUUCGAUAUUCGUGUUUAUCGAAUUUCCCGUGUACCUGAAUAGCUGGACAAAAUGGAACAUAGUGCCGUUUUACAGUAUUAAGGAAUGUAUUUCAAAAUAGUUCCGUUUUAGUAACUUGGGCUAUACAUGUCUUUGAAUACAAGAUAUCCUUCUUCAGGAACUAACCACCAACUUCUAAUAUGUAAAGUAAAAUAACCAGAAUAUGACAAUCACUUUUAUCAUUGCAUCAUAUUGAUGAAGUUUGACCUGGUACUCUUAAUUUCGUUAUAUCAGCCAUGCUUUGAUAAAGAAAGGAAUAUAGACAUGACAAAAUCAAUAGUCUGUGGCUGUUCAUUGAAAACAUACUGGACUUAUCGCUAGACUCAUACCUGAACUUUGAAAUGCUUUUCACUAUGUCGUGUGCUUACUUUUUUCUUGCGAAAUGAAUAUAUGAAUAAAUAAAUUCAAUAAAAACACUGAUAUGUAAUAUUUUAUUACUGUCUACGUAUCAUAGGCAAAUAAUUGUUUAUAACUUUUUAUGACACAUUCCCGUAAUA
Pecten maximus is the source of this 1493-nucleotide RNA transcript. It is a transcript of the gene named methyltransferase-like protein 27, with no coding region annotated. Lineage: Eukaryota; Metazoa; Mollusca; Bivalvia; Pectinida; Pectinidae. The record is from RefSeq and is a predicted model, not a curated record. The transcript is spliced from 5 exons.